UACGGGGGGAGCAAGCGUUGUUCGGAUUUACUGGGCGUAAAGGGCGCGUAGGCGGCCACCGCAAGUCGACUGUGAAAUCUCCGGGCUUAACCCGGAAAGGUCAGCCGAUACUGCGGGGCUAGAGUGCAGAAGGGGCAACUGGAAUUCUCGGUGUAGCGGUGAAAUGCGUAGAUAAUCGAGAGGAACACCUGCGGCGAAGGCGGGUUGCUGGGCUGACACUGACGCUGAGGCGCGAAAGCUAGGGGAGCGAACGGG
Molecule: ribosomal RNA, 255 nt
Filed under: uncultured bacterium
Lineage: Bacteria
Description: partial 16S ribosomal RNA
Rfam family: Bacterial small subunit ribosomal RNA
Source: RNAcentral